Erinaceus europaeus (western European hedgehog) is the source of this 566-nucleotide long non-coding RNA. RefSeq lists it as uncharacterized. Lineage: Eukaryota; Metazoa; Chordata; Mammalia; Eulipotyphla; Erinaceidae. The record is from RefSeq and is a predicted model, not a curated record. The transcript has 3 exons.
AGUGUAUGUGAAUAUCCAUCCAUCUAACCAUUGAUUAGAGGCUCAGGAUCCAGACUUGGAGCUCAACUGAAAAUCUCCUCUAAAUAAGAUCUACAUUGAGACUGAAGGACAGAGAGAAAUUGAGAGGGAGGAAAGGGAGACAGAGAGGGAGGAAGGAGGAGAGACACUUGCAGCACCACUCCACCACUUGUGAAGCUUCCCCCCUGCAGAUGAGGACUGGAGGCUUGAACUUGUGUCACUGCACAUGAUCCAAGAAGUCAACUGCUCUAUGAGUUCAGACCCCUUAAAGUUUCAGUCUGAUGUCUGUGUCAUAUCUGCUUCCUGGAAACAUCUUAAGGUACGGCUAAAAUAGCAAGAAAAUGUUAGCCAGGAUUUUCCAUGUGAACAGUGACCCACCACAGGUUGAAUCCCAAAACCUAUGCAUUUGUUGGGUUGGAUAGAGAGCAGCAAAGCAGGACAAUGGAGGAAGAGAAGAGGUUUCAUCCUUGUUUGUGUACAUAUUAGGACAUACAGUGUCAGAAAUGGAUCCUCUUUAUUUAUAAAACAAAGUAGUUCAGUCUGGCAGG